AUUGAACGCUGGCGGCAUGCUCUACACAUGCAAGUCGAACGGUAACAGGCCGCAAGGUGCUGACGAGUGGCGAACGGGUGAGUAAUGCAUCGGAACGUGCCCAGUCGUGGGGGAUAACUACUCGAAAGAGUAGCUAAUACCGCAUACGAUCUAUGGAUGAAAGCGGGGACCGUAAGGCCUCGCGCGAUUGGAGCGGCCGAUGUCAGAUUAGGUAGUUGGUGGGGUAAAGGCUCACCAAGCCAACGAUCUGUAGCUGGUCUGAGAGGACGACCAGCCACACUAGGACUGAGACACGGCCCAGACUCCUACGGGAGGCAGCAGUGGGGAAUUUUGGACAAUGGGCGCAAGCCUGAUCCAGCAAUGCCGCGUGCAGGAAGAAGGCCUUCGGGUUGUAAACUGCUUUUGUACGGAACGAAACGGCUCUGGUUAAUACCCGGGGCUAAUGACGGUACCGUAAGAAUAAGCACCGGCUAACUACGUG
RNAcentral lists this ribosomal RNA (481 nucleotides) under uncultured bacterium. Its description in RNAcentral is "partial 16S ribosomal RNA". It matches the Rfam family "Bacterial small subunit ribosomal RNA", at positions 30 to 507 of the family's 1533-position model. The record is from RNAcentral.